GAGUGCCUGGAAAAAUUCUCCGACAGCCUCAACCAAAUGAUUGACAACCAAGUGGAGCUUCUGGACAGCACCCAGCACUCAUCCCGGCAACACAUCUAUACCCUGGUGAAAGAGGACGUGAAGCGGUUCAAGGAGGCGCGGAAGGAGUUCGAGCGGGGCAGCGAGGGGCUGGGUUUGGGGGGGCUGGGUUUGGGGUCCCCCUGACCCCCCCGCUGUCCCAGGGACGUGAAGCGGUU
Molecule: long non-coding RNA, 236 nt
Organism: Terrapene triunguis (Three-toed box turtle)
Lineage: Eukaryota; Metazoa; Chordata; Testudines; Emydidae
Exons: 3
Source: RefSeq, a predicted model, not a curated record